CAAGCCUGAUCCAGCAAUGCCGCGUGCAGGAUGAAGGCCUUCGGGUUGUAAACUGCUUUUGUACGGAACGAAAAGCCUCUCUCUAAUACAGGGGGGUGAUGACGGUACCGUAAGAAUAAGCACCGGCUAACUACGUGCCAGCAGCCGCGGUGAUACGUAGGGUGCGAGCGUUGUCCGGAAUUAUUGGGCGUAAAGAGCUUGUAGGCGGUCCGUCACGUCGGAAGUGAAAACUCAGGGCUUAACCUCGGGCUUGCAGUGGGUACGGGCUGACUAGAGUGCGGUAGGGGUGACUGGAAUUCCUGGUGUAGCGGUGGAAUGCGCAGAUAUCAGGAGGAACACCGAUGGCGAAGGCAGGUCACUGGGCCGCAACUGACGCUGAGGAGCGAAAGCAUGGGGAGCGAACA
This 404-nucleotide ribosomal RNA is filed under the name uncultured Actinomycetales bacterium. RNAcentral describes it as "bacterial SSU rRNA". It matches the Rfam family "Bacterial small subunit ribosomal RNA", at positions 378 to 774 of the family's 1533-position model. The record is from RNAcentral. Lineage: Bacteria; Bacillati; Actinomycetota; Actinomycetes; Actinomycetales.